This 254-nucleotide ribosomal RNA is filed under the name uncultured bacterium. Its description in RNAcentral is "partial 16S ribosomal RNA". It matches the Rfam family "Bacterial small subunit ribosomal RNA", at positions 526 to 779 of the family's 1533-position model. The record is from RNAcentral.
CGAAGGGGGCUAGCGUUGCUCGGAAUCACUGGGCGUAAAGCGCACGUAGGCGGCUUUCUAAGUCAGGGGUGAAAUCCUGGAGCUCAACUCCAGAACUGCCUUUGAUACUGGAGAGCUUGAGUCCGGAAGAGGUGAGUGGAACUCCGAGUGUAGAGGUGAAAUUCAUAGAUAUUCGGAAGAACACCAGUGGCGAAGGCGGCUCACUGGUCCGGUACUGACGCUGAGGUGCGAAAGCGUGGGGAGCAAACAGGAUU